UACGGAGGGUGCAAGCGUUAUCCGGAUUCACUGGGUUUAAAGGGUGCGUAGGCGGGCAGGUAAGUCCGUGGUGAAAUCCUAUAGCUUAACUAUAGAACUGCCAUGGAUACUAUUUGUCUUGAAUGUCGUAGAGGUAAGCGGAAUAAGUCAUGUAGCGGUGAAAUGCUUAGAUAUGACUUAGAACACCAAUUGCGAAGGCAGCUUACUAUGCGAUUAUUGACGCUGAGGCACGAAAGCGUGGGUAGCAAACAGG
RNAcentral lists this ribosomal RNA (253 nucleotides) under uncultured bacterium. Its description in RNAcentral is "partial 16S ribosomal RNA". It matches the Rfam family "Bacterial small subunit ribosomal RNA", at positions 524 to 776 of the family's 1533-position model. The record is from RNAcentral.